AGCAGCCGCGGUAAUUCCAGCUCCAAUAGCGUAUAUUAAAGUUGUUGCAGUUAAAAAGCUCGUAGUUGAACUUCGGGAUCAAUUAGUUGGUCAUGCCUUGGUAUGUACUGAUUUUAUUGGUUCUCACCUUCUAAAGAACUAUAAUGUCAUUUAUUUGAUGUUAUAGGGAAUUAGGACUGUUACCUUGAAAAAAUUAGAGUGUUUAAAGCAGGCUCACGCUUGAAUACAUUAGCAUGGAAUAAUGAAAUAGGACAUCGCAUUCUAUUUUGUUGGUUUCUAGGAUCGAUGUAAUGAUUAAUAGGGAUAGUUGGGGGCAUUAGUAUUCAAUUGUCAGAGGUGAAAUUCUUGGAUUUAUUGAAGACUAACUACUGCGAAAGCAUUUGCCAAGGAUGUUUUCAUUAAUCAAGAACGAAAGUUAGGGGAUCGAAGACGAUCAGAUACCGUCGUAGUCUUAACCAUAAACUAUGCCGACUAGGGAUCGGAUGAUGUUGAUUUUUAAUGACU
RNAcentral lists this ribosomal RNA (504 nucleotides) under uncultured Glomus. RNAcentral describes it as "SSU rRNA". It matches the Rfam family "Eukaryotic small subunit ribosomal RNA", at positions 569 to 1076 of the family's 1831-position model. The record is from RNAcentral. Lineage: Eukaryota; Fungi; Glomeromycota; Glomeromycetes; Glomerales; Glomeraceae.